AGUGAACGCUGGCGGUAGGCCUAACACAUGCAAGUCGAACGGCAGCACAGUAAGAGCUUGCUCUUACGGGUGGCGAGUGGCGGACGGGUGAGGAAUACAUCGGAAUCUACUUUUUCGUGGGGGAUAACGUAGGGAAACUUACGCUAAUACCGCAUACGACCUACGGGUGAAAGCAGGGGAUCUUCGGACCUUGCGCGAUUGAAUGAGCCGAUGUCGGAUUAGCUAGUUGGCGGGGUAAAGGCCCACCAAGGCGACGAUCCGUAGCUGGUCUGAGAGGAUGACCGGCCCCAUGGAACCUGGAACCGGUUCCGGACCCCUAGGGAGGCCGCCGUUGGGAAUAUUUGACAAUGGGCGGCAACCUUGUUCCGGCCUUCCCGGUUGGUUAAAAAAGCCCUCCGGUUUUUAGGGCCCUUUUUUGGGAAAAAAAAACAGCCGGUUAAUACCCCGGUGUUCUGGCCGUUACCCAAGGAUUAGCACCGGCUAACUUCGUG
RNAcentral lists this ribosomal RNA (491 nucleotides) under uncultured bacterium. RNAcentral's name for it is "partial 16S ribosomal RNA". It matches the Rfam family "Bacterial small subunit ribosomal RNA", at positions 29 to 507 of the family's 1533-position model. The record is from RNAcentral.